UUGUCAUAGCCUAACGGCUGAACAGCAACUUGGGGGAAUGUAUAGCGAAAGCUAGUUGUGUUAACUAUUAGUUAAUGCAGGAUCGACUAUGUCGAAUAAAGUUCUAGGUAGAAUAAUGAUGAUGACAAUUUUUUACCUAUAUGUCUUGACCAAAUCUCGUGCCAGCAGUCGCGGUAAUACGUGGAAGACUAGUGUUAUUCAUCUUUAAUAGGUUUAAAGGGUACCUAGACGGUAUUUUUAGCCCAAAAUAGGGUACGGAUUUACUAGAGUUUUAUGUGAGGAGGGGAGUACUUGUGGAGUAGAGAUGAAAUUUUGUCAUACUAUGAGGAAACUGGUGGAGGCGAAAGCAACCUUUUAUGUAUAAACUGACGUUGAGGGACGAAGGCUUGGGUAGCAAACAGGAUUAGAUACCCUAGUAGUCCAAGCAGACAAUUCUGAAUGCCAUAGAUUAGAUUAUUUUUGGUCUAUAAAUGAAAGUGUAAGCAUUCCACCUCAAGAGUAAUGUGGCAACACAGGAACUGAAAUCAUUAGACCGUUUCUGAAACCAGUAGUGAAGUAUGUUAUUUAAUUCGAUAAUCCGCGAAAAACCUCACCACAACUUGAAUAUUUAUAAAAUAAUACAAGCGUUGCACGGCUGUCUUCAGUUAAUGUCGUGAGAUUUUGGUUAACUCCAUUAAAUUAACGUAAACCCUUACUUUAUUUCUUUUUAUAUAAAGUAGUUCCCCACUAUAUUGGAUAUGAUAAAAGGGAUUAAGACAAGUCAUCAUGACCUGAAUAUUGUGGGCUAUA
RNAcentral lists this ribosomal RNA (789 nucleotides) under Pleopsidium flavum. RNAcentral describes it as "SSU rRNA". It matches the Rfam family "Bacterial small subunit ribosomal RNA", at positions 359 to 1218 of the family's 1533-position model. Lineage: Eukaryota; Fungi; Ascomycota; Lecanoromycetes; Acarosporales; Acarosporaceae. The record is from RNAcentral.